This 703-nucleotide long non-coding RNA is filed under the name Fukomys damarensis (Damara mole-rat). RNAcentral describes it as "lncRNA (ENSFDAG00000032277.1)". Lineage: Eukaryota; Metazoa; Chordata; Mammalia; Rodentia; Bathyergidae. The record is from RNAcentral.
AGUUUUACGUAAACAAGCACAUCCUGUGCUCCUGCAUUUCCACUGCGGGAAGAGUUGCUCAGUUACGGAAACAACAAUGUAGCAGGGAGUUAUCAAAGCACCAUCAUAAUUAUGAGAACUGGUAAAACACUUCCAGGGAUUCCCAUGGCACUCCUGGAACAGACUCUUCCUUCUCGAUGCUAAUUUAUGCCGGCUCCCUCUAAUGGAGCACAUCGAUGAAGUCGGAUUUCCUUCCCCAGAUAUUGCAUGAAGCUCUGUUUAACUACAUUGAAGGCCUGCCUGCCACCAGCCCAGCAAGGAAGGUGAGAUCUGGGAAGGCCUAUCCAAGAUCUGCUAUACCUCCAGCCUGCUUGGGACCAUUCAUCAGGACCAGGUGGCCCUACCCUCCCUGCCAGAACCAACACAAACUCCAGCAAGGAAGCAGGAACAUUACUGCAUCCUUUCCUGUGGUCAACUGAUAAAUCCCGGGCCCAUAUUUCUCUAAGGACACUGAGAUCUGCCGGUACACAGGAGAGAGACUUUGAAAGCUGUGUAGAGGAUCCUGAACCAUCAACUGCCCCAUUUGAAUUACAACCAGCCCUCAGGAAUGAACUGGUCAUAAGUCAAGGGUCUACUAUACACGAAUCUGUUCACAUCUUCUGCUGGUUAGUGACUCUUUUUAGAUUUUUAAAUUUUACAUGAUUCUCCCUCAUUAGAAGAAUAU